UGCCUACCAUGCAAGUCGAAGGGACCUGGACUUCGGAAAAAGUGAGAGUGGCGGACCGGUGAGUAACGCAAAGGGAACCUGCCCAGUGGUGGGGGAUAACUGCGGGAAACUGCAUCUCCUACCGCAUGAGCCCGAGAGGGGAAAGAUUUAUCGCCAUUGGAGGGGCCCGCGUUCGAUUAGGUAGUUGGUGGGGUAAAGGCCUACCAAGCCGACGAUCGAUAGCUGGUCUGAGAGGAUGAUCAGCCACACUGGGACUGAGAUACGGCCCAGACUCCUACGGGAGGCAGCAGUGGG
This 294-nucleotide ribosomal RNA is filed under the name uncultured Rhodospirillales bacterium. RNAcentral describes it as "partial 16S ribosomal RNA". It matches the Rfam family "Bacterial small subunit ribosomal RNA", at positions 54 to 354 of the family's 1533-position model. Lineage: Bacteria; Pseudomonadati; Pseudomonadota; Alphaproteobacteria; Rhodospirillales. The record is from RNAcentral.